ACGUUCUUGACGCGAUAACAAUUGGUUUAUCGAUAUCCUAUUUAUACCUUAUUCAAAUUAUUUUGAUGCUCCUCUACGGGCCGACUUACUGUGAUGUCAUCCGAAUAAACUGCUGUUCCUGGUAAACAUUUUAGUGGUGAAUCGAUGAUACAUUGAAAUAUCGCUGAGGCUAAGGCAAUUCCAAAUGUCGUCCUCUAGUUCGAGGCAUUGGAUAAAUCGAGACUUGUAAAAUGAGAUCCUCUUCCAAUGGCUGCUUAUAUAUCAUCAAUUCUUGGUAUGGGAUAUUGUUUAGUUGACGAUUCACUGAUCGUUUUCAGAAAUUCUCACAGACUCUAGUCUUAUCUUUUUUAAGG
Long non-coding RNA from Gordionus sp. m RMFG-2023, 353 nucleotides. RefSeq lists it as uncharacterized. The transcript has 3 exons. The record is from RefSeq and is a predicted model, not a curated record. NCBI's taxonomy places the organism in Eukaryota, Metazoa, Nematomorpha, Gordioida, Chordodea, Parachordodidae.